This 760-nucleotide long non-coding RNA is filed under the name Homo sapiens (human). RNAcentral describes it as "non-protein coding lnc-ZBTB7A-1:6". Lineage: Eukaryota; Metazoa; Chordata; Mammalia; Primates; Hominidae. The record is from RNAcentral.
CGGGUGUGCACGCAUGUUUGAGCGUGUGUGGACGUGAGUGUAUCUGUGCAUGUGUGCGAGCAUGUGCGUGUGUGUGCACGUGUGCAUGUGUGGAGUCUAUGAAUGUGUGUGUGUGAGCAUGUGUACACACGUGUGAAUGGAUGCAUAUGGGCAUACGUGAAUGUGGACUGUAUGGAUGUGUGGCAUGCGGGUGUGGGCGUGUGUGUGUGACGGUGUGGACUGUACAGAUAUGUGACGGUGUGGACUGUAUAGAUGUGUGUGUGUGUGUGACGGUGUAGACCAUAUAGAUGUGUGUGUGCAUGUGAUGGUGUGGACUGUAGAGAUGUGUAUGUGUGUGUGUAUGACAGUGUGGACUGUAUGGAUGUGUGACGGUGUGGACUGUAUAGAUGUGUGUGUGUUUGUAUGACGGUGUGGACUGUACGGAUGUGUGACGGUGUGGACUGUAUAGAUGUGUGUGUGUUUGUAUGACGGUGUGGACUGUACGGAUGUGUGACAGUGUGGACUGUAUAGAUGUGUGUGUGUAUGACGGUGUGGACUGUAUGGAUGUGUGAAGGUGUGGACUGUACAGAUGUGUGUGUGUGUGUGUGAGACGGUGUGGACUGUAUGGAUGUGUGCGGGUGUGUGUGUGAGACGGUGUGGACUGUAUGGAUGUGUGCGGGUGUGUGUGUGAUGGUGUGGACUGUAUGGAUGUGUGCGGGUGUGUGUGAUGGUAUGGACUGUAUGGAUGUGUGUGGGUGUGUGUGUGUGAUGGUGUGGACUG